CCAGCUGGGCUGAGAAAGAAGGCGGCACUCUGUUCACAAGCCUAGGACGAGCCCCCUUUUUGCUACCCUGUCAGUGUGGAGGGGAAGGAAAGAGAGAGAGAGCGCGUACGCGGACGAGAGAGAGAAAAAAAAAGGCGAGGAAACCGGAGAACAACUGUUUGACAGAGGCAGAGAGAACCAGGCGGGCUGCUGUGAGAAGUGAGAGAGCAGAAGGGAAGAAAUAAGGCACAGCAAUUGGAUCGCAAACGUGGGUCUAUUUCUUCUCCGGCCACAGGGGGCACACUCACUGCUUUUAUCCGCUCGACUUCUUGAUGAAACCCAGUGGACCGGACUAACCAAAUUACUGGAUUUAAGAAAAAAAAAACAACAAAAGAAAAACAUUUGUGUUGCGUCCUUAGAAGCAGAAACAAUUCCUCUGGGUUGGAGCAGUGCAAACUGAGAGGACCGUGAUCGCAUCUCGGCGUGGUCUGUUCAUCUGUCGGUGCUGAGGAUAUUCCGUCAAAGCCUCGGAUCAAAGUCCAGAGAAGAGAGAGAGAGCGCGUAGAUGAGAGCGAAGACCAUUAAAGCCGAGGCAAAAGUGAAAUAGCUCGGAGAGAGAAGUGAGCCAACCACGUCCUCUCCUGUGUUCCUUUUGCCAUCCCUUUUCUCCUCCUCUCGUCUUCCUCCUGUUCCUCACCCUUUUUUGCAAACAUCCCCCCCCCCCCAAAAAAAACGCCUGCUUCUCUGUCCUCUCCAUCCUCUACCCCUCCUUUUUAUCACAACUAACCGCGGCGGACCGGCACCGUACUCCCGAAUCAAGUUCUUGAGGGGGAUAUUUCAAUCAAGCUGAAGGACGAGUCCGCCUUAUACCGAGGCUGUGGACCACGUUGCCUCUCAUUGUUCUGUGCAGGACCUGGAUCUUGUGUUCCCUUUUGUAACACGGAAAGGAUUCUUACGAGCUACCCAAUCCUUCACUCCCACAGCUCCUUUCCCCUCUCCUCCCGUGUCAGCAUUCCCUGCCUCGGUGCUAAGGAUUCCAGCUACAUGGGCAAGCGAUUGGAGCAGCAGCCAAUGUACCCUCAGUACACCUACUAUUACCCCAAUUAUCUUCAGACCAAGCAGGCCUAUGCUCCACCCCCUCACCCCAUGGCUCCUCCCAGCCCCAGCACCAACAGCUGCAGCCAGGGAGGGGCGGAGCAGCUGAGUAAGACCAACCUGUACAUCCGAGGCCUGCCACCUGGGACCACCGACCAGGACCUCAUCAAGCUCUGCCAGCCGUAUGGAAAGAUAGUUUCAACAAAGGCCAUUCUGGAUAAGAACACCAACCAGUGCAAAGGCUACGGCUUUGUUGAUUUUGACAGCCCGGCUGCAGCACAGAAAGCCGUGUUGUCUCUCAAAGCCACGGGAGUGCAGGCGCAAAUGGCCAAGCAACAGGAGCAGGACCCUACCAACCUGUACAUCUCCAACCUACCCAUUUCCAUGGACGAGCAGGAGCUAGAGAACAUGCUGAAGCCUCUCGGGCACGUCAUCUCCACCAGGAUACUGAGGGAUGCCAACGGGGUCAGCAGGGGAGUUGGCUUCGCCAGGAUGGAAUCCACUGAGAAAUGUGAAGUAGUCAUUCAGCAUUUCAACGGAAAAUACCUGAAAACCCCACCAGGAAUUCCAACUCCCACAGAGCCUUUGCUGUGUAAAUUUGCAGACGGAGGCCAAAAGAAGCGCCAGAGCCAGAGCAAGUACCCUCAGAACGGGAGGCCGUGGCACAGAGAGGGCGAGACUGGGAUGGCGUUGACAUAUGAUCCAGCUGCAAUGCAGAACGGGUUCUACUCCUCGCCUUACAGCAUCGCCACCAACCGCAUGAUCGCACAAACCUCCAUCACGCCCUUCAUCGCUGCUUCCCCAGUUUCCACAUAUCAGGUCCAGAGCACAUCAUGGAUGCCUCAUCAACAAUAUGUUAUGCAACCUACAGGUGCAGUGAUCACGCCAGCAAUGGACCACACAAUGUCCAUGCAGCCUGCCAGCAUGAUGGCACCCCUCACCCAACAAAUGAACCAUCUGUCCCUGGGUACCACAGGAAGUUACAUGACUGCCGCAGCGCCUAUGCAAGGGACCUACAUCCCCCAGUACACUCCUGUGCCUCCGACGGCCGUCCCUGUCGAAGGCGUGGUGACUGACGCCUCCCCCCAGACGGCAGCUCCCUCAUCACAGGAAGUGGGCGGGCAGCAGCAACAGAUUCAGGUGGACAGUGCCGCUGAACACGCUUACUCAUACCAGUCCAAAUAACAACGGCCUCAAAGAAUGUUCCUGUGACAGCGUUGCCUUGAGACAUGAGGUGGCUGCACUGUGAAUGAGAAAUGCACCCAGGAAUAUGAAUCUCUUCCCUGCUGUCCACAAGGCGGCACAAAAUAGCUCGCCUGGCUUCACCGUCUCUCACAGUCGGACACGAGGCUCAAUAACUCAUCACACACACAAGCAGGGACCUCCCACUUCUUGAUUGAUGCCUCGCUUCACUUUUGAUGAAGGCGUACUGAUUGCUGUUUCAUCCCCAUGAAAAAAAAAAAAAUUACCAAAUGACUAAAACAUUUACCUGCUUUUGUUUUCACUUCUGUUGCUAUUUUUCAUGGUUGUUGUUUGAGUGGUCACCUGCUGCACAGUGGGAACUUUAAGUGUGUACAUCAGUGGGUGUGAAAUGGGUUGAUUCAGUUUACUUUUGUUUUCCUCUCUGAUGAAGCUUUCAAUUAAAAAAAAAAAAGUGUAAAAAAAAAGCACC
Nerophis ophidion (straightnose pipefish) is the source of this 2746-nucleotide RNA transcript. It is a transcript of the gene named RNA binding motif, single stranded interacting protein, with no coding region annotated. The transcript is spliced from 15 exons. The record is from RefSeq and is a predicted model, not a curated record. Lineage: Eukaryota; Metazoa; Chordata; Actinopteri; Syngnathiformes; Syngnathidae.